Astatotilapia calliptera (eastern happy) is the source of this 555-nucleotide long non-coding RNA. Lineage: Eukaryota; Metazoa; Chordata; Actinopteri; Cichliformes; Cichlidae. The record is from Ensembl.
GUCUCACUGAUUCUGAUCCAUCCGUGUCGGUUAAUUCUGCCAGUUGGAUUUUUGUUUACAGGGGGAUGAAGAUGCUGCUGGUGUUGCUGCUCCUCAUCAACAUUUCCCAGCAUGCCCUGGCUGUGGUGGUGGAGGUGAAUGAGGGGGAAAGAUCUGUCCUGCUGCCCUGUCAAUACUCAGGUAUUACACCCGAGGACCCCACAAUGAUGUGGAUGCGCAAUGAUCUUCAUCCCAACUCUGUCCACCUACAGCGAGAAGGAAGAGAUGACCUUAGAGGACAAAACCAGCGUUACAGCAGGCGCACAUCGAUGAGGCGUGAUGCUCUGCACACUUUAGACUUCAGCCUCACUCUGAGAAAACCACAACUGACCGACAGCGGCAACUACACCUGCUCCAUCAGUUUUGGAAGAGAAGAGCUGACACUGACAGUUAUACAGCUACAGGUCAAAGACCAGCAGGUGGAGAUGAAGGUGACUGAAGGCUUAGAGUCUAUCAUCCUGCCCUGCAAAACAAAACCUUACCUGCCUGAGGACAGCACAGUGGAGUGGACUCGCU